GGAAUAUUGCGCAAUGGAGGAAACUCUGACGCAGUGACGCCGCGUAUAGGAAGAAGGUUUUCGGAUUGUAAACUAUUGUCGUUAGGGAAGAUAAAAGACUGUACCUAAGGAGGAAGCUCCGGCUAACUACGUGCCAGCAGCCGCGGUAAUACGUAGGGAGCAAGCGUUAUCCGGAUUUAUUGGGUGUAAAGGGUGCGUAGACGGGAAGACAAGUUAGUUGUGAAAUCCCUCGGCUUAACUGAGGAACUGCAACUAAAACUAUCUUUCUUGAGUGUUGGAGAGGAAAGUGGAAUUCCUAGUGUAGCGGUGAAAUGCGUAGAUAUUAGGAGGAACACCGGUGGCGAAGGCGACUUUCUGGACAAUAACUGACGUUGAGGCACGAAAGUGUGGGGAGCAAACA
This 400-nucleotide ribosomal RNA is filed under the name uncultured bacterium. RNAcentral's name for it is "bacterial SSU rRNA". It matches the Rfam family "Bacterial small subunit ribosomal RNA", at positions 358 to 774 of the family's 1533-position model. The record is from RNAcentral.